CAACCAAUCCCGAAGAGCCUUAGAGUCGCUCAAACGUCUUCUGUUUUCCCGUGGCGUCAAACGCCACAUGAGCGCAUCUUAAUAACGUCUCCUAUUACGUGUGCGCGGGAAAACCCGAUGCGAAAUUGGAAGAAGAGCAAGCU
Molecule: non-coding RNA, 143 nt
Organism: Caenorhabditis elegans
Lineage: Eukaryota; Metazoa; Nematoda; Chromadorea; Rhabditida; Rhabditidae
Source: Ensembl